This 1285-nucleotide ribosomal RNA is filed under the name Dinomachus sikhimensis. RNAcentral's name for it is "16S ribosomal RNA". The stretch from base 842 to 1214 matches the Rfam family "Archaeal large subunit ribosomal RNA", at positions 2150 to 2716 of the family's 2987-position model. Lineage: Eukaryota; Metazoa; Arthropoda; Insecta; Hemiptera; Heterogastridae. The record is from RNAcentral.
UUUAAUACAUUUAUUAUUAAAUAUUUAUUAUUUUUAUUUAUUGUUAUUGAAAUAUCAUUUAUAUUAUUAGUAUUUUUAUAGAAUUUAUUUAUUUGUAAUUAUAGUUUAUUGUACUGUGAAGGGAUUUUAUUUAUUUAUUUUAAGCAUUCUUUUUUUGUAUUACCUUUUGUAUCAGGGUUUAUUAAUUUAUUAUAAUUUAUUUUUAUGUUCCCGAAGUUAAGAGAUUUAAUAUUUUAUGCUAGUUUAUGUUUUAUAAUAAUUUGUAAUUUUAUAUUAGAGGUUAUAUGCUAUCCAAUCUUAAUAUAUCUGGUUCCUUUAUAUUUAAAUUAAAUUUAGACUUUAUUUAGUUAAUUUAUUAAUUUUAUUAUUUUUAAUUAAUUUAGUUAAGUUUAUUGGGGAUAAGCUCAUUAAACAUUUUAUAAUUAUUGUUUUUAUUUAAUUUUAGUAGGUUUAAUAACGGCCAUCUUGUAUUUCGUUAUAGUUUCAAUUUUUUAUUAAUUUAUUUUUAUUGUAAUUUAGGUUUAUAUUUAGGUUAAUUGUUUAAUUUUUAUUCAUUUUUAAUAAUGAUGGAAUUAGUAUCUUGGUUAAUUUUAGUAUAGUAAUUCGGCAAUUUUUAUUUUCGCCUGUUUAACAAAAACAUGUCCUAUUGUGAAUAUAUUGAUUUUAGGUCUAGCCUGCCCAGUGAUUUUAAUUAAAUGGCCGCAGUAUUUUAACUGUGCAAAGGUAGCAUAAUCAUUUGUCUUUUAAUUGGGGGCUUGUAUGAAUGGUUGGACGAAAAAUAUACUUUCUUUACUUUAUUAUUUGGUGAAUUUGAUUUUUUAGUUAAAAAGCUUAAAUAUUUUUAUGGGACGAGAAGACCCUAUAGAAUUUUACUUAACCAUUUAUAACUUAAUUCUUUAGAUUCAUAAAGUUUAAUUUUAUUUGUUAUGUUUUGUUGGGGUGAUAUUGAGAUUUUUUUAACUCUUAAUUUUAUAUUUUCAUUAAUUAAUGUUUUUUUGAUCCUUUAUUAUGGAUUAUAAGAUUAAAUUACCUUAGGGAUAACAGCGUAAUUCUUCUGGAGAGUUCUUAUCGAUGGAUUUGGAGUUUGCGACCUCGAUGUUGGAUUAAAGUUAGUGUUAUGGUGUAGCAGCUUAAUUACUGGGUCUGUUCGACCUUUUAAUCUUUACAUGAUCUGAGUUCAGACCGGCGUGAGCCAGGUUGGUUUCUAUCUAUAAUUAUGUUUAUAUAUUUUAGUACGAAAGGACCAAUUAUAUAUAAUAUUUAUUUUUGAUUUGAUUAUUAUUAA